GUGAGGAAUAUUGCGCAAUGGAGGCAACUCUGACGCAGCCAUGCCGCGUGCAGGAAGAAGGCGCUACGCGUUGUAAACUGCUUUUAACCGGGAAGAAACCCCAGGACGUGUCCUGGGUUGACGGUACCGGAGGAAUAAGCACCGGCUAACUUCGUGCCAGCAGCCGCGGUAAUACGAAGGGUGCAAGCGUUAUCCGGAUUCAUUGGGUUUAAAGGGUGCGUAGGCGGAGCGUUAAGUCAGUGGUGAAAUCCUGCAGCUUAACUGUAGACUUGCCAUUGAUACUGGCGAUCUUGAGUGCGCUUGCAGUGGGCGGAAUGUGCCGUGUAACGGUGAAAUACUUAGAUAUGGCACAGAACACCAAUUGAGAAGGCAGCUCACUAAGGCGAUACUGACGCUGAGGCACGAAAGCGUGGGGAUCGAACAGGAUUAGAUACCCGAGUAGUCC
This 445-nucleotide ribosomal RNA is filed under the name uncultured bacterium. RNAcentral's name for it is "partial 16S ribosomal RNA". It matches the Rfam family "Bacterial small subunit ribosomal RNA", at positions 354 to 796 of the family's 1533-position model. The record is from RNAcentral.